GGACCCGCACAAGCGGUGGAACAUGUGGUUUAAUUCGAUGCUACGCGAAAAACCUUACCAAGAUUUGACAUAUUAGUCGUAUGUCUAGGAAACUAGCAGUCAGUUCGGCUGGACUAUUACAGGUGCUGCAUGGCUGUCGUCAGCUCGUGUCGUGAGAUGUUGGGUUAAGUCCCGCAACGAGCGCAACCCUUAUCUUUAGUUGCCAUCAGGUUAAGCUGGGAACUUUAAAGAAACUGCCAAUGGAGAAUUGGAGGAAGGUGAGGAUGACGUCAAGUCAGCAUGGCCCUUAUAUCUUGGGCUACACACGUGUUACAAUGGUAGUGACAAUGAGAUGCAAUAGGGCGACCUUGAGCAAAUCUAUAAAAACUAUCUCAGUUCGGAUUGCACCCUGCAACUCGGGUGCAUG
This 406-nucleotide ribosomal RNA is filed under the name uncultured bacterium. RNAcentral's name for it is "bacterial SSU rRNA". It matches the Rfam family "Bacterial small subunit ribosomal RNA", at positions 917 to 1322 of the family's 1533-position model. The record is from RNAcentral.